UAAGCGAAUAGUGAAAUCUGGUGGCUCAACCAUACAGGCUAUUAUUCGAACUGGCUAACUCGAGAAUGGUAGAGGUAACUGGAAUUUUCUUGCGUAGGAGUGAAAUCCGUAGAUAUAAGAAGGAACACCAAUGGCGUAGGCAGGUUACUGGACCAUUUCUGACGCUAAGGCACGAAAGCGUGGGGAGCGAACCGGAUUAGAUACCCUGGUAGUCCACGCCCUAAACGAUGCGAAACUG
Molecule: ribosomal RNA, 238 nt
Filed under: uncultured Candidatus Saccharibacteria bacterium
Lineage: Bacteria; Candidatus Saccharimonadota
Description: partial 16S ribosomal RNA
Rfam family: Bacterial small subunit ribosomal RNA
Source: RNAcentral